Molecule: ribosomal RNA, 1964 nt
Filed under: human metagenome
Description: bacterial LSU rRNA
Rfam family: Bacterial large subunit ribosomal RNA
Source: RNAcentral
UCAAGCUAUAAAGAGCGCAAGGGGAAUGCCUUGGCAUCAGGAGCCGAAGAAGGACGUGACAAGCUGCGAUAAGCCACGGGGAGGAGCAAAUAUCCGCUAUAUCCGUGGAUUUCCGAAUGGGGGAACCCGCUUGAGCAAUACUCAGGCAUCGUGCAUUGAAUCAAAUAGGUGUACGAGGGGAACGGUCUGAACUGAAACAUCUAAGUAGGACCAGGAAAAGACAUCAACCGAGAUUCCGCAAGUAGUGGCGAGCGAACGCGGAGGAGGCCAAACCGGAGGAUUUAUUCUCCGGGGUUGCGGACAGACAUCAUGAUCAGAGGAAGCUAGGAGAACGGCAUGGGAAGGCCGGCUAGAAAGGGUGAGAGCCCCGUAUCCGAAAGCAGGAGCUGACAGUCUGGAUCCAGAGUACCGCGGGACACGUGAAACCCCGUGGGAAACCGGGUGGACCACCAUCCAAGCCUAAAUACUACCUGAUGACCGAUAGAGGAGCAGUACCGUGAGGGAAAGGUGAAAAGGACCCCGGGAGGGGAGUGAAAGAGAACCUGAAACCUUGUGCUUACAAGCAGUCAGAGCACGUUAAAGUGUGAUGGCGUACUUUUUGUAGAACGGUCCGGCGAGUUAUAGUAACGAGCAAGCUUAAGGUAUUCAGUACCGAAGGCGCAGCGAGAGCGAGUCUGAAUAGGGCGUAUAAAGUUCGUUGCCAUAGACCCGAAACCGGGUGACCUAUCCAUGAGCAGGCUGAAGUGGAGGUAAAACUCCAUGGAGGGCCGAACCGACCCCCGUUGCAAUGGUGGCGGAUGACUUGUGGAUAGCGGAGAAAUUCCAAUCGAACUCGGAGAUAGCUGGUUCUCCCCGAAAUAGCUUUAGGGCUAGCGUUAGUUUAGAUUACCGGAGGUAAAGCACUGAAUGGUUUAGGGGCUGAUAAAGUUACCGACGCCUAUCAAACUCAGAAUGCCGGCUAAUUGAUGCAUAGCAGUCAGACAGUGUGAGAUAAGUUUCAUUGUCAAAAGGGAAACAGCCCAGACCCACAGCUAAGGUCCCUAAUGCAUGCUAAGUGGAAAACGAUGUGGAAUUGCGAAAACAACCAGGAUGUUGGCUUAGAAGCAGCCACUCAUUAAAAGAGUGCGUAAUAGCUCACUGGUCGAGUGACUCUGCGCGGAAAAUAUAACGGGGCUAAGCAUGCAACCGAAGCUUGGGAUUGUCUAAAGACAGUGGUAGGGGAGCGUCGUGUACGGGGUGAAGUCGCAUCGGAAGGAGCGGUGGACUGUACACGAGUGAGAAUGCCGGAAUGAGUAGCGAGAAUUAUGUGGGAAUCAUAAUGGCCGAAAAUCUAAGGUUUCUUGGGGAAGGUUCGUCCGCCCAAGGUAAGCCGGGAGCUAAGGCGAGGCCGAAAGGCGUAGUCGAUGCACAUACGGUAGAAAUUCCGUAGCCACCGAACUUUAAGUCAGAGGGACACUUUUGGAUAGCGGAACCCGGGCGUUGGUUGACCCGGGCGAAAGGGAGCGAAAAUAUAGUAGCGAAGUCCGCGAUGCUGAGAGGCGAGAAAAGCUCUGAUGGAUACUAAGGUGCCCGUACCGCAAACCGACACAGGUAGAUGAGGAGAGAAUCCUAAGGCCAACGGGAGAAGGGUUGUUAAGGAACUCGGCAAGAUGACCCCGUAACUUCGGAAGAAGGGGAGCCUCGAAAGAGGCCGCAGUGAAUAGGCCCAGGCAACUGUUUACCAAAAACACAGGUCUAUGCUAAAUCGAAAGAUGACGUAUAUGGGCUGACGCCUGCCCGGUGCCGGAAGGUUAAGAGGAGAUGUCAGGCAACGAAGCAUCGAAUUGAAGCCCCGGUAAACGGCGGCCGUAACUAUAACGGUCCUAAGGUAGCGAAAUUCCUUGUCAGGUAAGUUCUGACCCGCACGAAUGGCGUAAUGAUUUGGGCACUGUCUCAACAGCCCGCCCGGCGAAAUUGUAGUACUG